UCAAAAGGCCUUGAUGAGUGCAAUCAGUUUU
RNAcentral lists this non-coding RNA (31 nucleotides) under Rattus norvegicus (Norway rat). The record is from RNAcentral. Lineage: Eukaryota; Metazoa; Chordata; Mammalia; Rodentia; Muridae.